GUGUUUCUAGGGGAGAAAAGGAGGCCCUGUUUAGUAGACACCUUGCUACCCAGUUCCAGCUGCCCAGGAGCCCAAAACUGCACAAACUGACCUGACGGCUGCUGUAGGCUGACCCUCAGCCCUGCUCCAGGCAGCCCAGGCCCAGGCAGCUCUUCUCUCUGGCAGCCCGGCCAGCCCCACUCACCGUGCAGCCGUCCUUCAGGGCAGUGUACGUGAACCUGCUGUUGCCCUCUGCCCGGAUCUCCACGUCGUUGGAGCCCUGGAUGAGCAGGGCCUUCUUGAGGUUACCAGCUGCUUCAUCCAGCCCAACAGAAAACUGGAGGAAAAUGUGGGGAAGGUGCUGAAAGUUCCCAGGGAGAAGAAAAGAAGGAGUCUGAGAAGCCAUCUCUGCUCAUCACCGAGGGCACCCAGGGAGAAGAAAAGGAGUCUGAGAAGCCAUCUCUGCUCAUCACCGAGGGCACCCAGGGAGAAGAAAAGAAGGAGUCUGAGAAGCCAUCUCUGCUCAUCACCGAGGGCACCCAGGGAGAAGAAAAGAAGGAGUCUGAGAAGCCGUCUCUGCUCAUCACCGAGGGCACCCAGGGAGAAGAAAAGAAGGAGUCUGAGAAGCCGUCUCUGCUCAUCACCGAGGGCACCCAGGGAGAAGAAAAGCAGGAGUCUGAGAAGCCAUCUCUGCUCAUCACUGAGGGCACCCAGGGAGAAGAAAAGGAGUCUGAGAAGCCAUCUCUGCUCAUCACCGAGGGCACCCAGGGAGAAGAAAAGGAGUCCGAGAAGCCAUCUCUGCUCAUCACCGAGGGCACCCAGGGAGAAGAAAAGAAGGAGUCUGAGAAGCCGUCUCUGCUCAUCACCGAGGGCACCCAGGUACUCACAU
Molecule: non-coding RNA, 868 nt
Organism: Callithrix jacchus (white-tufted-ear marmoset)
Lineage: Eukaryota; Metazoa; Chordata; Mammalia; Primates; Cebidae
Source: RefSeq, a predicted model, not a curated record